UGAGGGCAGCACUGUGUCCGGG
RNAcentral lists this microRNA (22 nucleotides) under Gallus gallus (chicken). RNAcentral describes it as "gga-miR-1785". The record is from miRBase by way of RNAcentral. Lineage: Eukaryota; Metazoa; Chordata; Aves; Galliformes; Phasianidae.